Phrynosoma platyrhinos (Desert horned lizard) is the source of this 74-nucleotide non-coding RNA. The record is from the annotation of a GenBank genome assembly. Lineage: Eukaryota; Metazoa; Chordata; Lepidosauria; Squamata; Phrynosomatidae.
GAAUUGGUGUGGUGCAGUGGUUUGAGCAUUGGACUGCAACUCUGGAGACCAGGGUUCGAUUCCCUGUUGGAGCA